CAGCUUGUUGGUGAGGUAAUGGCUCACCAAGGCGACGACGGGUAGCCGGCCUGAGAGGGUGACCGGCCACACUGGGACUGAGACACGGCCCAGACUCCUACGGGAGGCAGCAGUGGGGAAUAUUGCACAAUGGGCGGAAGCCUGAUGCAGCGACGCCGCGUGAGGGAUGACGGCCUUCGGGUUGUAAACCUCUUUCAGUAGGGAAGAAGCGAAAGUGACGGUACCUGCAGAAGAAGCGCCGGCUAACUACGUGCCAGCAGCCGCGGUAAUACGUAGGGCGCAAGCGUUAUCCGGAUUUAUUGGGCGUAAAGAGCUCGUAGGCGGUUUGUCGCGUCUGCCGUGAAAGUCCGAGGCUCAACCUCGGAUCUGCGGUGGGUACGGGCAGACUAGAGUGAUGUAGGGGAGACUGGAAUUCCUGGUGUAGCGGUGAAAUGCGCAGAUAUCAGGAGGAACACCGAUGGCGAAGGCAGGUCUCUGGGCAUUUACUGACGCUGAGGAGCGAAAGCAUGGGGAGCGAACAGGAUUAGAUACCCUGGUAGUCCAUGCCGU
Molecule: ribosomal RNA, 549 nt
Filed under: Arthrobacter sp.
Lineage: Bacteria; Bacillati; Actinomycetota; Actinomycetes; Micrococcales; Micrococcaceae
Description: bacterial SSU rRNA
Rfam family: Bacterial small subunit ribosomal RNA
Source: RNAcentral